Molecule: long non-coding RNA, 1223 nt
Organism: Ornithodoros turicata
Lineage: Eukaryota; Metazoa; Arthropoda; Arachnida; Ixodida; Argasidae
Exons: 3
Source: RefSeq, a predicted model, not a curated record
AGAACGUGCACGUGCGUCUGUCGUGAAGUAGAGCGCGUUCAGGAGAUGAAAUCACCCGACUUUCCGGUUUUGGCUUCGACACCCAGGAGGGAUAUAGACCCAGUAAGCCAUUUUGUGCACAAUUUGCAUGAACCAAGAUGGAACGCAUGAGGCGGCAACAAACGUUCUUUCUUCGGAGGUCGUCCUUCUUUGUUGGCACUGCAGCCGAUGCGAGCGCAAGAGGAGCACGAUGUUGCCUUUCGCGGACGAAAGGAAGGCACCUUGCACCGUUGACGGCUACAGAGCUUUUUCGUUUACUCAUGCUAUGCGGUAUAUGUGCUGCAAUAGGCGGUAAUAUAAGAGUAAACAUUUGACGGAUGGCGUAACCGUCAGCCGUUGCCGCUUAAAAUAAGAGUAUGAAAACGAACGAUUCUUGACCCUUACUCUCCGUCAUCGCCCCAAGCGUAAGUUGAUGACAUGUAAAAUAGCGGUCAAGAAUCGAAGUUUUCUUACUUUUACUAUCCGUCGGUUUUCCGAGAGUGUAUAAGAAACGUACCUAUAAGUUACCUAUAUAGCCUGUGAUGAUCCGAUCUGUUAAGCACUUCUGCGAAUUCCCAAGCGCCCACCGUGAAGUGACCACCGUGAGCACCAUGCUCACUGCUGGGCGAGUGCCGUUCGGGUACGGAGGCAGCCCUCCUGUGAUACACCCCUGUCUAAUCUUCGACUGGUCCGCUCAUAGUGUAACAGAAAAAUAUAUACGAACUGCACUUAAAGGGGCUCUAAACAGGUAUACAAGGUGCGCAUUUCUUUGAGUUAUAUUAUUGCAACUUAGUCAAUGAAAGCUCCUUGCAAUUACUAGCGCUCAAAACCAAAAGGCGCUUGCAUACGGAUGCAAUGGAAAUAUUCACAGCACUCUCGCUUUUUAGCUCCGCCCUUCUGGAUCCCUCAACGAGCUAGACCCUCCCCCCCCCUCUCACAAAAUUGCUUGGUCCCUGGUCACAUCCAGCACACCAACGCUCUGCCGUCAAGGCUCUCUUCACCUUCCUGGACACCACAGGACUUCGAGCCUUAUUUUGAAGGGGCUCAUUAUUUCAUUCCCCGUCUCACCACCAGCAAUGGGGUAGAGUAUCGCCCCCUGCGAUGAAACUCCUCAGUCAUCAUCCCGUAAUAAAGUUGUUGUUUUAGCUCCGCCCUGCGCUCUAACUUUACGUCAUUUUGACGUGGCACUUUCCUCACCGAUUACG